Canis lupus familiaris (dog) is the source of this 1184-nucleotide long non-coding RNA. RefSeq lists it as uncharacterized. The record is from RefSeq and is a predicted model, not a curated record. The transcript has 2 exons. NCBI's taxonomy places the organism in Eukaryota, Metazoa, Chordata, Mammalia, Carnivora, Canidae.
CGAGCUCCGGGCCGGCGUCCCCCGCCCCCCCCCCGCACUUCCGGGGGGCGGGAGCACCGCCCUUAAGGUGGCUCCCUUAAGUCCCCUGUGCGGGCCGGGGAAAGCGGGCGUCCGUUUGGGGCCGGUCUCGCGAGCGCGCCCCCUCCCGCCCCCCGUUGAGGACGCCGCGAAGUUUGUGUCCCGGUCAAGUUCACCAGCGGCCGCCCGCGCUGCUGUCCCGCGGCGCCGGCCGCCCAGGGGCCUGCACUGCUCCAGACUGGGUGCCCAGCUCGGUCCGCGCUGCAGCCCCCCACCCCCCGCACCCGCAGCGCACCCUGCAGGCCGAGGGAAAAGGGGUGCGAGGGUUCACAGUUCUGCCCGCGGGGGAAAUUUCUCUCCUAGGGGGUGGAAUUAGGGGGCAGCUCAGCUUCCAGUUGUGAAUGAGCGUGUAGGGAAUCCGAAACUUGGGGAACCCCGGCGAUCGUCUGCUGCACGCCCGCGCACAGCGUGCAACCACACGCGCGCGCACACACCCCCACACCCUCCGAGUCCUGAUUUGUUUACAGGAAAACCAGUCCCGAGAGUGUCAGAUACUCAGGAAUAAGUCACGCAGCGAGUCCCGGGUGGGACCUGGAUUUCACACCGGCUGCCCUCCCGGCCGGGUGGUGGGCCCAUAUCCCGGGUGGCCUCUAGGAAGCGCUAGACUCAUGACCAGGUGCACUUACUCCAGUGAGGUGCAGGGAGAGGAGGAAGAUGAAGGAAAAGCUCAGGAGUCAGCGCCUCCGCGGGCCCUGCAUCCCUCGAGGACUGGAGUUUGGAGUUGGACCUGCAGCCACGUGGGUUCUUAAGGUUCUAAUUCUGGCUUUUCAGCUUCUGAACUUGGGGACUCCAGCUUUGGGUUUACAGCCCAGAGCUUUAAGGUAUUUGUGGCUUUGGGAGUUCAGACUCAGUGGCCCAACAGCCGCUAGUGUUGGAAAUCUUGACAACUUUUCUUCACCCCACGCACUCACCUCUCUUUCCCUUCCGCAGCAAAGGAAAACUGAGUGGCUCCCCCCUGCCCCGCCCCCCCCCAUCCCACUGGCAAUACGGUGAUGACAAGAUCCAGUUACUUUCCUCAAGGAGAGAACAUUCUCUAUUCUGUUGCCCUGAAUCCUUUUCUUUUGUAAUCAGGGAGCUGACGUUCUUAAUAAAUUUUUUAAUGUUAA